RNAcentral lists this ribosomal RNA (165 nucleotides) under Bonordeniella sp. Its description in RNAcentral is "Coniosporium sp. (in: Eurotiomycetes) partial large subunit ribosomal RNA". It matches the Rfam family "Eukaryotic large subunit ribosomal RNA", at positions 99 to 261 of the family's 3401-position model. The record is from RNAcentral. Lineage: Eukaryota; Fungi; Ascomycota; Eurotiomycetes; Chaetothyriales; Herpotrichiellaceae.
CGGCAACAGCUCAAAUUUGAAAUCUGGCCCCUUCGGGGUCCGAGUUGUAAUUUGUAGAGGAUGCUUCGGCGUUGGCGCCGGUCUAAGUUCCUUGGAACAGGACGUCAUAGAGGGUGAGAAUCCCGUAUGCGACCGGCUGCCAUCUCCUUGUGAAGCUCCUUCGAC